RNAcentral lists this long non-coding RNA (1146 nucleotides) under Anser brachyrhynchus (Pink-footed goose). Its description in RNAcentral is "lncRNA (ENSABRG00000006959.1)". The record is from RNAcentral. Lineage: Eukaryota; Metazoa; Chordata; Aves; Anseriformes; Anatidae.
ACAGAAAAUCCUUCCUGCAGCAUGGGCCAGGUUAUACCGGAUGUCUCAUACAGGCCAGUAUCUUAUUCCAUGCAUGACUUACUCAUGUUGCAAAAGCAGGCCCUUGUGAUUAUAUAACAGCUCUCAAGAGGAAGCUGCUAACAAGACCAUCUGACAUUUUUUUGCCAGCUGUUUUAGUGGAGGCGUGUUGGAUUAGACUGAGCUCCACCUUCUCUGAUGAGCAAAGCAUUUGGAAAAUGACAGAGCCUGAAGAAAAAGGAAUUUCAAAAUCUGGCUCCCCAUUUUCUCCUGAGCAGGUCUGCUCUUCUACAUGUGUGGACAAGUAGGCAAGAGUGGUCUACAAGCUCCUUCUCAGCAAGCCCGGCUGUUAGGAGUCAUGACUUCGCAUGAUGCAGUGACUCCUGCUAAGUUCCUGUCAGUGUGCCAUAGUUCAGUGAGAAGCACAGUGUCUUCAGAUGGUGCUGGACAAGCUUUUCUCCAUGAUGUGCUGUUAAAAGCAUAUAUCCAGAUAUCCAGAAAAAAAAAAAAAGUGGAAAAAAAGAAGCAGCUGACCAAUAACUUACCUAGAAAGCAUCCAGCCUGGAUCUCAGCUACGAAAAAUGAAUGGAAGUGUAUACCAGAAGAUGAAUGCAACCUUCAAAACACCCUGUUCAGCUUUGUAGAGGGCUCUGGGAGAGUGGUUCUGUGGAGUCUGGAAAUGCUUAAAAAUAGCUUUGCUUGGGACACCACACAAUCUGCUGACAUUUUGGAACUCCGGGAUAAAAACAGAACAUUUCCAACAGCAAAGGUCUCCUGAAGUUGUUGAAAGAAGAUUAGAACAGUGGUUCUUCUUGCACGUUCUUUUCUUAAGAGCCACAAUGAUCCUUUCAGUUCUGUCCUCUUCAGGACCUGGCUAUGAGAAGGUGGGAGCUGGAGGCCUUUUAGGGUUGCUUGGAGGAGAUGGGUUAUAAUCUUGGUACUGGAAGAAGUUUCUGAACCCUAGAUUUGCCAGCUCAUCUUUAAAAAUAAUUUCUGAUGAAGUUACGUGAAUCUUACAUUGUGGUUCUUGGGAAGCAAGGCACUUGGAAAAUAGGAUUUACUGUUGCGAUGGAACACCAGAGGCUGUCACACCACUAAACUGAGAAUAAACAGAGAAGAAAGCCUGCA